CAAGUCUCUAUCAGUCAAAGCCUAACCAGCAGACUGUAUCGAGUGUUGCAUCGAAAUAGGUAACUAUCAGAUGAAGUGUACACAGAGAACUUUUUAGGCCAGAAGGAGUACCGUACUCCUGAAGCAUAUUCAGCCCCGUUAACUGGAUGUCUGUAGCACAGGCAAAAGAGCAGAUGACAACAUGUUUAACGUCAUGGAAGUCAGCACAAAUGAGUUGUAAUGGUAAGACUCAUGAGGGUCUGUCGGGGUCAGAGCACC
Molecule: non-coding RNA, 258 nt
Filed under: Halanaerobium congolense
Lineage: Bacteria; Bacillati; Bacillota; Clostridia; Halanaerobiales; Halanaerobiaceae
Source: RNAcentral